Molecule: ribosomal RNA, 503 nt
Filed under: uncultured bacterium
Lineage: Bacteria
Description: partial 16S ribosomal RNA
Rfam family: Bacterial small subunit ribosomal RNA
Source: RNAcentral
AACGAACGCUGGCGGCACGUUUUAAGCAUGCAAGUCGAAUGGCAGCAGGGGCAACUCUGUGAGAAUGGCGAACGGGUGAGUAACACGUAGGUGAUCUGCCUUGAGGAUGGGGAUAGCCUGUGGAAACACAGGGUAAUACCGAAUGAGCUGACGAGACUUUGGUUUUGUUAGUAAAGGUGCUACGGCACCGCCUUGAGAGGAGCCUGCGGUCUGAUAGCUAGUUGGUGGGGUAAGAGCUUACCAAGGCGACGAUCAGUAGCCGGCCUGAGAGGGUGUACGGCCACACUGGAACUGAGUCACGGUCCAGACUCCUACGGGAGGCAGCAGCUAAGAAUCUUCCGCAAUGGGCGAAAGCCUGACGGAGCGAUGCCGCGUGAUCGAUGAAGGUCGAGAGAUUGUAAAGAUCUUUUCUACAUGAGGAAUAAGUCUGGGAGGGAAUGCCCGGAUGAUGACGUUAGUGUAGGAAUAAGCCCCGGCUAAUUACGUGCCAGCCGCCGCCGUAA